Molecule: ribosomal RNA, 394 nt
Filed under: Aerococcus urinae
Lineage: Bacteria; Bacillati; Bacillota; Bacilli; Lactobacillales; Aerococcaceae
Description: bacterial LSU rRNA
Rfam family: Bacterial large subunit ribosomal RNA
Source: RNAcentral
GUGGUUAAGUGAAUAAGGGCGUACGGUGAAUGCCUUGGCACUAGGAGCCGAUGAAGGACGGGACGAACACCGAUAUGCUUCGGGGAGCUGUAAGUAAGCUUUGAUCCGGAGAUUUCCGAAUGGGGGAACCUCAUUGGGAAGGUAGAUUCCCGAGUAGCGGCGAGCGAAACGGAAAGAGGCCAAACCAGCGUGCUUGCAUGCUGGGGUUGUAGGACUGAUGGACGGGAGUGAAUGAGUUAGUCGAACGCCAUGGAAAGGGCGAUCAGAGAGGGUGACAAUCCCGUAGGCGAAAGCUCAGCCACCUCAUUCAGUAUCCUGAGUACGGCGGUACACGUGAAAUUCCGUCGGAAUCCGCCAGGACCAUCUGGCAAGCCUAAAUACUCCCUAGUGACCG